Molecule: ribosomal RNA, 675 nt
Filed under: uncultured eukaryote
Lineage: Eukaryota
Description: SSU rRNA
Rfam family: Eukaryotic small subunit ribosomal RNA
Source: RNAcentral
CCGACCGGCGAUCCGCCACCGUUACUUGAAUGACUUGGCGGGCAGCCUCCGGGAAACCUUGAGUGUUUGGGUUCCGGGGGAAGUAUGGUUGCAAAGCUGAAACUUAAAGGAAUUGACGGAAGGGCACCACCAGGAGUGGAGCCUGCGGCUUAAUUUGACUCAACACGGGAAAACUUACCCGGCCCGGACACUGGAAGGAUUGACAGAUUGAGAGCUCUUUCUUGAUUCAGUGGGUGGUGGUGCAUGGCCGUUCUUAGUUGGUGGAGUGAUUUGUCUGGUUAAUUCCGAUAACGAACGAGACUCUAGCCUACUAAAUAGAUCGUCGGCUUACAAACGCUGAUGAGACUUCUUAGAGGGACAGGCGGCGAUUCAGCCGCACGAAACAGAGCAAUAACAGGUCUGUGAUGCCCUUAGAUGUCCGGGGCCGCACGCGCGCUACACUGAAGUGAUCAGCGUGCAUUUUCAGCCUACUCUGCCAAGAGUGGGAAACCCAAUGAACCUUCUUCGUGAUUGGGAUAGGAGAUUGUAAUUAUUCUCCUUGAACGAGGAAUUCCCAGUAAGCGCGAGUCAUAAGCUCGCGUUGAUUACGUCCCUGCCCUUUGUACACACCGCCCGUCGCUACUACCGAUUGAAUGUUUUAGUGAGGUCUUCAGACUGGCCGGCGCAGCUGCUCUC